AGUCGAGCGGCAGCGGGUCCUUCGGGAUGCCGGCGAGCGGCGGACGGGUGAGUAAUGCCUAGGAAUCUGCCUGGUAGUGGGGGAUAACUCGGGGAAACUCGAGCUAAUACCGCAUACGUCCUACGGGAGAAAGCGGGGGAUCUUCGGACCUCGCGCUACCAGAUGAGCCUAGGUCGGAUUAGCUAGUUGGUGAGGUAAAGGCUCACCAAGGCGACGAUCCGUAGCUGGUCUGAGAGGAUGAUCAGCCACACUGGAACUGAGACACGGUCCAGACUCCUACGGGAGGCAGCAGUGGGGAAUAUUGGACAAUGGGCGAAAGCCUGAUCCAGCCAUGCCGCGUGUGUGAAGAAGGUCUUCGGAUUGUAAAGCACUUUAAGUUGGGAGGAAGGGCAGUAAGUUAAUACCUUGCUGUUUUGACGUUACCGACAGAAUAAGCACCGGCUAACUUCGUGCCAGCAGCCGCGGUAAUACGAAGGGUGC
Molecule: ribosomal RNA, 480 nt
Filed under: uncultured bacterium
Lineage: Bacteria
Description: bacterial SSU rRNA
Rfam family: Bacterial small subunit ribosomal RNA
Source: RNAcentral